GAUGAACGCUGGCGGCGUGCCUAAUACAUGCAAGUCGAGCGAACAGACGAGGAGCUUGCUCCUCUGACGUUAGCGACGGACGGGUGAGUAACACGUGGAUAACCUACCUAUAAGACUGGGAUAACUUCGGGAAACCGGAGCUAAUACCGGAUAAUUUAUUGAACCGCAUGGUUCAAUAGUGAAAGACGGUUUUGCUGUCACUUAUAGAUGGAUCCGCGCCGCAUUAGCUAGUUGGUAAGGUAACGGCUUACCAAGGCGACGAUGCGUAGCCGACCUGAGAGGGUGAUCGGCUACACUGGAACUGAGACACGGUCCAGAAUCCUACGGGAGGCAGCAGUAGGGAAUCUUCCGCAAUGGGCGAAAGCCUGACGGAGCAACGCCGCGUGAGUGAUGAAGGUCUUCGGAUCGUAAAACUCUGUUAUUAGGGAAGAACAAAUGUGUAAGUAACUAUGCACGUCUUGACGGUACCUAAUCAGAAAGCCACGGCUAACUACGUG
RNAcentral lists this ribosomal RNA (497 nucleotides) under uncultured bacterium. Its description in RNAcentral is "partial 16S ribosomal RNA". It matches the Rfam family "Bacterial small subunit ribosomal RNA", at positions 28 to 507 of the family's 1533-position model. The record is from RNAcentral.